UCCCUGGUGGCUCAGAUGGUAAAGAAUCUGCCUACAAUGCAGGAGACCCAGGUUCAAUCCCUGGGUUGGGAA
Molecule: transfer RNA, 72 nt
Filed under: Capra hircus (goat)
Lineage: Eukaryota; Metazoa; Chordata; Mammalia; Artiodactyla; Bovidae
Also listed under: 3 other names
Rfam family: tRNA
About the family: Transfer RNA (tRNA) molecules are approximately 80 nucleotides in length. Their secondary structure includes four short double-helical elements and three loops (D, anti-codon, and T loops).
Source: Rfam by way of RNAcentral